AUGGCCUGGACUCCUCUGCUCCUCGCGCUCCUCUCUCACUGCACAGGGUCCCUCUCCCAGCCGGUGCUGACUCAGCCGCCCUCCCUCUCUGCAUCUCCGGGAGCCACAGCCAGGCUCACCUGCACCCUGAGUGGUGUUUCCGAUAUUAGUGAUAACUGGAUACUCUGGUUCCAGCAGAAGCCAGGGAGCCGUCCCCGGUUUCUCCUGGAAUAUAAAUCAGACUCAAGUAAGAACCAGGGCUCCGGGGUCCCCAGCCGCUUCUCUGGAUCCAAAGACGCCUCGGCCAAAGCGGGGCUCCUGACCAUCUCGGGGCUGCAGCCUGAGGACGAGGCCGACUAUCACUGCGCUACAACUCACGGCAGGUCCCUCUCCCAGCCGGUGCUGACUCAGCCACCCUCCCUCUCUGCAUCUCCGGGAGCCACAGCCACGCUCACCUGCACCCUGAGCAGUGGCUCCAAUGUUAAUAGCUACGUUAUAGCCUGGUACCAGCAGAAGCCAGGGAGCCCUCUCCGGUACCUCCUGGCCUAUAAAUCAGACUCAGAUAAGAGACAGGGUACCGGGGUGCCCAGCCGCUUUUCUGGAUCCAAAGACGCCUCGGCCAAUGCGGGGCUCCUGACCAUCUCGGGGCUGCAGCCUGAGGACGAGGCUGACUAUUACUGUGCCACAGCUCAUGGCAGUGGGAGCAGCUACAGUUACCCACAGUGUCUCAGAUGA
This is a non-coding RNA of Myotis daubentonii (Daubenton's bat), 714 nucleotides long. NCBI's taxonomy places the organism in Eukaryota, Metazoa, Chordata, Mammalia, Chiroptera, Vespertilionidae. The record is from the annotation of a RefSeq genome assembly.